Molecule: small RNA, 78 nt
Filed under: Flavobacterium crassostreae
Lineage: Bacteria; Pseudomonadati; Bacteroidota; Flavobacteriia; Flavobacteriales; Flavobacteriaceae
Description: Flavo-1 RNA
Rfam family: Flavo-1 RNA
Source: Rfam by way of RNAcentral
UUCUAGCCCUGAUGGUAGCGGCAUCCUUUUUCUGGCUUCUUUAGCCAGGAAAAGAUAUAGCGGACAGCAGGAAAUAGC